RNAcentral lists this long non-coding RNA (5264 nucleotides) under Sus scrofa (pig). RNAcentral's name for it is "lncRNA (ENSSSCG00030057135.1)". The record is from RNAcentral. Lineage: Eukaryota; Metazoa; Chordata; Mammalia; Artiodactyla; Suidae.
UUUUUUUCUGAAAGAUUUUAUGUUGGUUUUUUUUUGGGGGGGGGGCGCACAGGGAUCAUGCCCAUGGCAUGUGCAAAUUCCCAGGUCAGGAAUCAAACCCAUGCCACGGCAGUGACCUAAGCCAUUGCAGUGACAAUGUCAGACCCUUAACACACUGUACCACAAAGGAACUCCCUUUUAGUUAAGUUUUAAAAUCAUCUCAGCUUGAUUAUUUAUUUAUUUAUUUAUUUAUUUAUUUAUUUUGUGUUUUUGCCAUUUCUUGGGCCACUCCCGCGGCAUAUGGAGGUUUCCAGGCUAGGGGUCUAAUUGGAGCUGUAGCUGCCAGCCUACGCCAGAGCCACUGCAAAGCGGGAUCCGAGCCGCGUCUGCAACCUACACCACAGCUCACGGCAACGCCGGAUCGUUAACCCACUGAACAAGGCCAGGGAUCGAACCCUCAACCUCAUGGUUCCUAGUCGGAUUCGUUAACCACUGUGCCAUGAGGAGAACUCCUGAUUAUUUUUUAAAUUGAAGAAUCAUAUAUCAGAAUUAGCUAUUUUUAUUUUUAUUUAUUUAUUUUCUUUUUAGGGCUGCAUCUGUGGCAUAUGGAAGUUCCCAGGCUACAGGUCGAAUUGGAGCUGCAGCUCUUGGCUUACACCACAGGCAUAGCAAUGCUGGAUCUGAGCCAUGUCUGUGACCUACACCACAGCUCAUGGCAACGCCUGAUCCUUAACCCACUUAGCAACGCAAGGGAUUGAGCCUGCAUCCACAUGGAAACUAGUUGGGUCCUUAACCCACUGAGCCACAAUGGGAACACCACAUAAUUAGCUAUUUUAAAUCAUACCUUUUAGUGGCAUUUAAUACAUUCAUAAUGUUGUACAACCAUCACCUUUGUGUAGUUUCAAAACAUUUCCAUCACCUCAAAAGGAUACCCUGUACCCAUUAAGCAAUCAAUUCUCAUUCUCCCCCUUCCCCAGACCCUGGUAACCAUUAAUCCACUUUUUUUUUUUUUUUUUUUUUGCCUUUUCUAGGGCCGCUCCUGUGGCAUAUGGAGGUUCCCAGGCUAGGGGUCGAAUUGGAGCUGUAGCCACCGGCCUACGCCAGAGCCAUAGCAACGUGGGAUCCGAGCUGCGUCUGCGACCUACACCACAGCUCAUGGCAACACUGGAUCCUUCACCCACUGAGCAAGGCCAUGGAUCGAACCCGCAACUUCAUGGUUCCUAGUUGGAUUCGUUAACCACUGUGCCGUGACGGGAACUCCCAUUAAUCCACUUUUUGUUUUUGGAUUUGUCUGCUCUGGACAUUUCAUGUGAAAGAAUCAUCUAUAUAUUGCCUUUUGUGUCUCCCUUCUCUAACUGAACAUAAUAUUUUCAAAAUUCAACCAUUUCGUAGCAGGUGUUAGUAUUUUUUUUGUUGUUGUUGUUGUUCUUUUUGGCUGCACCCAUGGCAUAUGGAAGUUCCCAGCCCAGGGAUUGAGUUCAAGCGGUAGCAACACUGAAUCCUUUAACCUACUCUACCCAAGCCUCUGUAGUCAGAUUCUUAACCCACUGCACCACAGUGGGAACUCCUAUGUGUCAGUAUUUUAUUUUUCUUUUUAUGACUGAAUAUGUCACUUAUAAAGAUAGCGUACAUUUUGUUUAUGCAUUCUUCAGUUAAUGGACAUUUGGAUUUUUUUCCCCUUUUUGACUGUUGUGAAUAGCGCUGCUGUGAAAGUUUUUGUGUAGCCAUGUUUCAAAUCUCUUGAGUAUAUUCUAGGUGUGGAAUUGAUGGGAGAUGUAGUAAUUCCAUGUUUAAUCAUCUUGAAUUUUUUGUAUGACAUUGUUUUAGUUUCCUAGGGCUGCUGUAAUAAAUGACCACUAAUUGGGUAGCUUUAAACAGGAGAAACAUAUUUUCCCACAGAAGGACAAAAUCAAAGUGUCUGCAGGCCAAGCUCCCUCCAGAAGCCCUAGGGGAAGAUUCUUCCUGCCUCCUCUGUUUGCCUAGAGCCCCAGGAAGUCCUAACUUGUGGCUGAAUCUCUCCAUUCUCUGCCUUCAUCUUCACAUGGGCUUCUUCCUUUGCAUGUCAUCUUCUCUCUGUGUACAUCAUCUUCUCUCUGUGCACAUCUGCAUAUGUGUCUACAUUUCCCCUUAUAAGGACACCAGUUAUUGGAUGGAGGCCUAUUCUAACGACCUCAUCUUAACCUGAUUGCAUCUGCAAAGACUCUCCCUCAAAUUAAGGUCCCACGUUGGAGUUCCUGUUGUGGCUCCAUGGUUAACGAACCCGACUAGUAUCCAUGAGGACUUGGGUUGGAUCCCUGGCCUUGCUCAGUGGGUUAAGGAUCCUGCAUUGCUGUGGCUGUGGUGUAGGGUGGCAGCUACAGCUCUGAUUUGACUCCUAGCCUGGGAACCUCCAUGUGCCACAGGUGCAGCCCUAAAAAGACAAAAAUAAAUAAAUAAAUAAAUAAAUAAAUAAGGUCCUCUGCACAGAUGCUGGGAGUGAGGACUUCAACAUGUCUUUUUCUGGAGAUUCCAUUCAUCUCAUGACAGGUGCAGAGUAGUGAUCUGGUUUUCAUUUUUUCAGAGGAAAGCUGUUUGUCUAGAAAAUUCUUCAUACUCCUCUGUAGGAACAUCUCAGUGUCUGAAUGUGUGCAGGCCAGUUUCCAAGCCCUCUAUUCUUCUCUUCUAUUCCUGGGCUGCUCUUUUCAUUACUGCAGCUUCUUAAGUGAGUUCAGUACAUAUAAGAGUCAGUGGCCAGAAAAAUAUAGUCUCUUUCUUGCUUGGAUAGCUUUCUAUGUCCUUGUGACUUUUUACAAGUGCUAACCCUGGCUCUAGCCAUUGAAGAUCCAGCAUUGGCCACCUAGAGGCCCUGGGGUAGCUCUGUUGUGUGUCCUACAAAGGAUUUUGUCCAGAGCAUCUUCAGCACAGCCCUGGGACAAGAUGCCAAGGACAGAAUGUUGCAUGAACCAAUGCCCAGGAGAAAAGGAGCUGGGGCUUGAAGCUGUUCAGAAAGGCCAAAGAUGCAGGGGUUGAGCUGAAGCAACUGAGUUACUUUAGCAAAGCCAUAGCCAUGAGAAGGGCCAGUUUCUAACCAUGGUAAAAGAGCAAGAUCUCCAAGUUAAAUCACCUGGUUAAUUGUGGCCCUUAAAUUCUACUCUAGGAAUUUGUACAGCCCUAAUAUUAGCAUUUCCAGGGAGGGAAGGCAGCUGUUGGAGGCAGGAGGUAGUUCCAUGUUCCAUGGUGACUCCCAGGCCCCAUGGGCUCUAAUUAUAAACCAUGAGAAGGGGAGGGAGGGCUCACGACUGUACUGACACCAGUACAAAGGCACCCAGAAGUUCAUUUUCCUUGGACACGUCAAAAAGAUUUGCCUCAAGCCUUUUCAAAGGUUUGGCAAAUACUUUUGGGCAAAAACAAAACAAAACAAAACAAAACAAAAACAAAACCAAACUGCCAUUUUUCAUAUGCAUUCCCUGACAUUUAUUUUGGUGGAUGCAGGAUAUAUUAUUAAAAUUCUUGUGUUUACUUUAGUUGUUUAAAUUCUUAUAUCAUUGUUGCUUCCUGAAAUAUUCUAUCAAAUUACAGGAUCAUUUUAGGAUUUUCACCUGAGUUAGUCAUCACACUUGAAUACAUCUUGAACAGUUGAGAAGACCUCAAGGACUGAUUAGAGAAUUUCUAGAAUUUAACCAAUAGCUUUUCAGUCCCAAAUAGCAGGUGGUUUAAAGCAUUGCCCAAAUUUUAAAUUAGUUUUAAUGAUAGUUAUUAAUUUGAAUAAUAGUAAUACAAUUUCAAACAUGUUGAAUUUAUUUCAGUUUUCUGGGAUUUAGCAUUUUUCAAGAUGCUGUUUUGUUUGAUAUGCUGUUUUGGUGGCAGAAGAUGGGGUGCAGCCUCCACUCAGAUGGUAGGUACUACAUAGAGGAAAGGUGCCCCCAAACUCUUGGCCAUACUCAACAGGAGUGUAACUGCCUCAGCUUGGAGUUGGAGGGGAUGAGAAAUGGUGACCUGCUGCUUUGGUAAGAUGCCAAACCGCUUGACUGGGAGCUGAAGGAUGAGGGAGCCCCAUCCCUUGGCCAUACCCAUCUCAGGUGGAAUUCUGUCAAGUAAAACUGGGGGGCAGUUGGCUAAAUCAUCUCAGAUUCUUACCAUUAUUACCGAGUUUUAGUAGAUUUUCUUGAAUCAAUAUCUCUUCAUUUGCUAUGUGCACUGAGGACAAUUUCUAGAGAUUAUAAAAUGUUUGUAUUAUUAGUGUUCACUAGGAGUAGAGUGGGUCUGCAGAGCUCCUCAUGGUGCUGUCCCAGAAGUGGACCCAUUCAACCUUGUUUCUGAACUAAGGCUGAUGCCCUCUCAAAACUGAAGGUGAUAGAGGGGCCAUAAUAUUAACCCUGCUGCCUAAUAAUUGGAUUGUGUUUGCAUUGAUGUGAAUAGCAUAAAAUAAGAAAUGAGAGAAGACAAGGGAGCCUUCUCUCUAUGAAGCGCCACAAGGUUUGGAGACUUGUUCUAGAGAAACACCAGCCUCAUUCCAACAUCUGUUGGACAUUUGACACAGCUGUGGAUGCCAGAGCACCUUCCAGCAUUAUUUGCAGAAAUAUGUGAUGGUUCUUUAGUCUUGGUUACAAAAUCUUUUUUUUUUUUUUUUAAUUUUAUGGCCACACCCAAGACAUAGGGAAGUUCCCCGGGCCAGGGAUUGAGUCCAAGCUGCAUCUACCAACAGCGCAACAGCUGCCACAAUGCAGGAUCCUUUAACCCACUGUGUGGAGCUGGGAAUUGAACCUGCACCUUCACAGGGACCUGAGCCACUGCAGUCAGCUUCUUUUUUUUUUUUUUUUUGAGUUUUAUUGAAGUAUAGUUGAUUUACAAGGUUGUGAUAAUUUUUGCUCUACAACAGAGUGAUUCAGUUAUACAUAUAUACAUAGCAUUCUCAGAUUCUUUUCCCACACAGAUUAUCACAGAAUAUUGAGUAAAGUUCUCUGUGCUAUAGCAGGUCUCCAUUAACCUAUCAUUCCAUAUACCAAUCCCCAUAAUAGUUUAUUAAGUUAAUUAAUUAGUUUAUUUAUGGCCUCACCUGAGGCAUGUGUAAGUUCCUGGGCUAGGGAUCGAACCCGUGGCAAAGCAAUGACCCAAGCUGAGUCCUUAACCUGCUGAGCCACAGAGGAACUCCAUGCAGUUGGAUUAACCUGCUGCUCCAUGGCGGGAACUCUUUGGUUACAAAAUCUUUUAAAGGGCGUAGAAUAAUUCUUCCAGAGAAACUAGAGCCCAGGGGCAGUUGGAACCUUUUUGUGCCAGGUAAUUUCUGCAGGUGACUAAUAUUUUGC